RNAcentral lists this transfer RNA (60 nucleotides) under Physella acuta. RNAcentral describes it as "transfert RNA-S1(AGC)". Lineage: Eukaryota; Metazoa; Mollusca; Gastropoda; Physidae. The record is from RNAcentral.
AAAAAGGACUAUAGUUUCAGGGCUGCUAACUUUGAAGCGGGGAUUCUUCUCCCCUUUUUU